UACGGAGGGAGCGAGCGUUGUUCGGAAUCACUGGGCGUAAAGGGCGUGUAGGCGGUCCACUAAGUCUGAUGAGAAAGCCCGGGGCUCACCCCCGGAAGUGCAUUGGAAACUGGUGGACUCGAGUCCCGGAGAGGAAGGUGGAAUUCCUGGUGUAGCGGUGCAAUGCGUAGAUAUCAGGAGGAAUACCGGUGGCGAAGGCGGCCUUCUGGACGGUGACUGACGCUGAGACGCGAAAGCGUGGGGAGCAAACAGG
Molecule: ribosomal RNA, 253 nt
Filed under: uncultured bacterium
Lineage: Bacteria
Description: partial 16S ribosomal RNA
Rfam family: Bacterial small subunit ribosomal RNA
Source: RNAcentral